This 459-nucleotide ribosomal RNA is filed under the name uncultured bacterium. RNAcentral's name for it is "partial 16S ribosomal RNA". It matches the Rfam family "Bacterial small subunit ribosomal RNA", at positions 338 to 795 of the family's 1533-position model. The record is from RNAcentral.
CCUACGGGAGACAGCAGUGAGGAAUAUUGGUCAAUGGGCGCGAGCCUGAACCAGCCAAGUCGCGUGAGGGAAGACGGUCCUAUGGAUUGUAAACCUCUUUUGUCGGGGAGCAACAGCCGCCCCGCGUGGCGUUCUGCGAGUACCCGACGAAAAAGCAUCGGCUAACUCCGUGCCAGCAGCCGCGGUAAUACGGAGGAUCCGCGCGUUAUCCGGAUUUAUUGGGUUUAAAGGGUGCGCAGGCGGAAGAUCAAGUCAGCGGUAAAAUUGAGAGGCUCAACCUCUUCGAGCCGUUGAAACUGGUUGUCUGGAGUGAGCGAGAGGUAUGCGGAAUGCGUGGUGUAGCGGUGAAAUGCAUAGAUAUCACGCAGAACUCCGAUUGCGAAGGCAGCAUACCGGCGCGCAACUGACGCUCAGGCACGAAAGUGUGGGUAUCGAACAGGAUUAGAUACCCGAGUAGUC